Molecule: RNA transcript, 2435 nt
Organism: Solanum pennellii
Lineage: Eukaryota; Viridiplantae; Streptophyta; Magnoliopsida; Solanales; Solanaceae
Gene name: calcium-dependent protein kinase 4
Exons: 10
Source: RefSeq, a predicted model, not a curated record
GAAGCUGACCAUUGUUGGAGUUGAACCUCCUAUUCUCUUUCUCCUCUUUCCUUUCUUCUUCCUUCUUCUCAUUUAGAGGAAAAAUUGCUCUCUUCCUCCUUUUUCUUCAUUCAGAUCUAUCCUUCUUCUUCGCUAAAUCUCCAUUUCAUCUUUCUUCUCUUUUAUUGAAGAAAAAAAAUUGUGAAUGACGAAGGUGUUAUUGAUUCUGACAUUGCCGAGCUGAGGGGUUAUUGUGAUUUUUUGUGUUUGUUUGAUGGGCAAUACAUGCCGUGGAUCUAUUGGAGGCAAAACUUUUCAGGGCUACAAUCAGCCUGAAGAUAGUUCCUGCUCCACCAAUCACAACCCUUCUUCCGGCAAUUCUUAUUCUUCUUCUGACAAUUUUUCUCCCACUAGCAACGCUCAACAGAAUAGUAAUCACAAGAAGGAGCAUUCUUUGUCUCUUGUUAGUCCCAGAAAAGCUAGCAUGAAUCGUUCAGGGAGUAAUCAGGCUUAUUACGUAAUGGGUCAUAAGACCCAGAAUAUUCGCGAUCUUUAUACUUUGGGAAGGAAGUUAGGACAAGGGCAGUUCGGGACUACUUAUUUAUGUACAGAAAUUUCUACCGGUGCUGAGUAUGCCUGUAAAUCAAUCUCGAAAAGGAAGUUGAUUUCGAAGGAGGAUAUUGACGAUGUUAGAAGGGAAAUUCAGAUAAUGCAUCAUUUGGCAGGUCAUAGGAAUAUUGUUACGAUUAAAGGGGCUUAUGAGGAUCCUUUAUAUGUUCAUAUUGUCAUGGAGAUAUGUAGUGGGGGUGAGUUGUUUGAUCGGAUCAUACAACGAGGACAUUACAGUGAGAGAAAGGCAGCUGAAUUGACUAAAAUUAUUGUUGGAGUUGUGGAGGCGUGUCAUUCUCUUGGUGUUAUGCAUAGAGAUCUCAAACCUGAGAAUUUCUUGUUGGUUAAUAAGGAUGAUGAUUUCUCUCUAAAGGCCAUUGAUUUUGGACUCUCUAUUUUCUUUAAGCCAGGACAAAUAUUCACAGAUGUUGUUGGUAGUCCAUAUUAUGUGGCUCCUGAGGUGCUUUUGAAGCAUUAUGGUCCUGAAGCUGAUGUGUGGACAGCAGGAGUCAUACUCUACAUACUGCUAAGUGGUGUGCCACCAUUUUGGGCUGAAACACAGCAGGGAAUAUUUGACGCAGUUCUGAAAGGACACAUUGAUUUUGACUCAGAUCCUUGGCCGUUGAUAUCUGAGAGUGCAAAAGAUCUUAUCCGGAAGAUGUUGUGCAUGCAGCCCUCAGAGCGGUUAACUGCUCAUGAAGUAUUGUGUCAUCCUUGGAUUUGCGAAAAUGGUGUCGCUCCUGAUAGAGCACUGGAUCCUGCAGUACUUUCUCGCCUAAAACAGUUCUCUGCUAUGAACAAGUUAAAAAAGAUGGCUUUGCGGGUGAUUGCUGAAAGCUUGUCUGAAGAAGAGAUUGCUGGUCUGAGAGAGAUGUUUAAGGCCAUGGAUACUGACAGUAGUGGUGCAAUUACAUUUGAUGAACUAAAAGCAGGGUUGAGAAAAUAUGGCUCUACCUUAAAGGAUACGGAGAUACGGGAACUUAUGGAUGCGGCUGAUGUGGACAAUAGUGGAACUAUUGACUAUGGAGAAUUCAUUGCGGCAACUGUUCAUCUUAAUAAAUUGGAGCGCGAGGAACAUCUCAUGGCAGCAUUUCAAUAUUUUGACAAGGAUGGAAGUGGUUACAUAACAGUUGAUGAGGUCCAGCAAGCUUGUAUAGAGCAUAACAUGACAGAUGUUUACUUUGAGGAUAUUAUAAGAGAAGUCGAUCAGGAUAAUGAUGGACGAAUUGAUUAUGGAGAAUUUGUUGCUAUGAUGCAAAAAGGAAAUCCAUGUAUAGGGAGACGAACAAUGCGAAAUAGUCUGAAUUUGAGCAUGAGAGAUGCACCGGGAGCUCAGUAGUAGCUUCUCAGACAGACAUCUCUAGUAGAUUUGCAACUUAACAUGCUUGGUGGAGCAUUCAUGAGGUAUGAAUGAGAAUUUGGGACACCCAGGUGGUACAGAGUUUAUAUUGGGGAAGGCAUCACAAAACUUGGUGGUUUGGUGAACAGACUAUGUUUGAUCUUGAAGAUCUGCUCGUGAAUAUGCUAUCAAAAUGUAUGAUGUUUGCAGGUUGUACAGAAAAGAGGCCAGGGCAAUAGACUUUCAUCCAGUACCUUCGAGUUUGCUAGAAGAGGAUGAGUGAAAGACCCUAUCGGACAGCUCUAUGCUUCCACGAUUUGUUGUGAGCUUUAUAUUUAGUUUUUAGUGUUGAAAAUGUUCCCACUAAUGUGUUCAAAUUAGUUGUGUUCUUUAGUCGAGGCUUCCUUCUUGUUUCAAAUUGUUAAUUUAUGUUGUUUUAUCAUAUGAUGUUUUAUUCCAUGAAUGAUUCUUCGCUUUUCUACUCAUGAUAAUUUAUGCUAUUUAUUUU